GACGAACGCUGGUGGCGUGCCUAAUACAUGCAAGUCGAGCGGACCAAUAGAAGCUUGCUUCUGUUGGUUAGCGGCGGACGGGUGAGUAACACGUGGGCAACCUGCCUGUAAGACUGGGAUAACUUCGGGAAACCGGAGCUAAUACCGGAUAAUUCAUCCCCUCGCAUGAGGGGAUGCUGAAAGUCGGUUUACGCUGACACUUACAGAUGGGCCCGCGGCGCAUUAGCUAGUUGGUGAGGUCAUGGCUCACCAAGGCGACGAUGCGUAGCCGACCUGGGAGGGUGAUCAGCCACACUGGGACUGAGACACGGCCCAGACUCCGACGGGAGGCAGCGGUAGGGAAUCUUCCACAAUGGACGAAAGUCUGAUGGAGCAACGCCGCGUGAGCGAUGAAGGCGUUCGGGUCGUAGAGCUCUGUUGUUAGGGAAGAACAAGUAUCGGAGUAACUGCCGGUACCUUGACGGUACCUAACCAGAAGGCCACGGCUAACUACGUGCCAGCCGCCGCCGUAA
Molecule: ribosomal RNA, 512 nt
Filed under: uncultured bacterium
Lineage: Bacteria
Description: partial 16S ribosomal RNA
Rfam family: Bacterial small subunit ribosomal RNA
Source: RNAcentral